RNAcentral lists this unclassified non-coding RNA (394 nucleotides) under Hevea brasiliensis (rubber tree). The record is from RNAcentral. Lineage: Eukaryota; Viridiplantae; Streptophyta; Magnoliopsida; Malpighiales; Euphorbiaceae.
CAAAGGCGAUGUUAGGCAGGUGUCAAUUCCAUAAUAUGACAUGAUUGAAUAUGAAAACAAUAUUCAAAUUGAUUUGGCAAGCAUCGACAGUCAAAUCAAAGGCAAGGCCUCUCUAAUAGUAACCACUGAACGAGACAAACUAUUAACUAAUUCACUAUAACAUGGAGCAAACUAAAUUCAAAAUUGGACCAUAAACGGAAAGAAAUCUCAAGAAUAUGCACACACAUGUAUAUGCAAAGUAAUUAAAUCCCAAAGGGAUAGAAACAACACACUGAGAGUAAUCUAUUCCAAAGCAAAUGAUUCGAAAUAUUUUUGACAUAAAAAAUAAUGUUAGAUAAAGAAAGGGAAAGAUAAAAAGAAUAAAAGGAAUAAAUAAAUAAAAUUAGACUAAAAG